Molecule: ribosomal RNA, 403 nt
Filed under: uncultured bacterium
Lineage: Bacteria
Description: partial 16S ribosomal RNA
Rfam family: Bacterial small subunit ribosomal RNA
Source: RNAcentral
GACGAACGCUGGCGGCGUGCCUAAUACAUGCAAGUCGAACGCAGUGGGGACGGUUGAUUAACACGUGGGUAACCUCCCAUCAGAGGGGAUAACACUUGGAAACAGGUGCUCAACUGCUAAUGAAGGAUGGACCAGCGGUGCAUUAGCUCAUUGGUGAGGUAACGGCUCACCAAGUCCACGAUGCAUAGCCGACCUGAGAGGUUGAUCGGCCACACUGGGACUGAGACACGGCCCAGACUCCUACGGGAGGCAGCAGUAGGGAAUCUUCGGCAAUGGACGAAAGUCUGACCGAGCAACGCCGCGUGAGUGAAGAAGGUUUUCGGAUCGUAAAACUCUGUUGUUAGAGAAGCGGUAUCUAACCAGAAAGCCACGGCUAACUACGUGCCAGCAGCCGCGGUAAUUC